This 331-nucleotide unclassified non-coding RNA is filed under the name soil metagenome. Its description in RNAcentral is "partial contains 5.8S ribosomal RNA, internal transcribed spacer 2, and large subunit ribosomal RNA". The stretch from base 1 to 120 matches the Rfam family "5.8S ribosomal RNA", at positions 35 to 154 of the family's 154-position model. The record is from RNAcentral.
GAUGAAGAACGUAGCGAAAUGCGAUAAGUAAUGUGAAUUGCAGAAUUCAGUGAAUCAUCGAAUCUUUGAACGCACAUUGCGCCCCCUGGUAUUCCGGGGGGCAUGCCUGUUCGAGCGUCAUUUCACCACUCAAGCCUCGCUUGGUAUUGGGCAACGCGGUCCGCCGCGUGCCUCAAAUCGACCGGCUGGGUCUUCUGUCCCCUAAGCGUUGUGGAAACUAUUCGCUAAAGGGUGCUCGGGAGGCUACGCCGUAAAACAAACCCAUUUCUAAGGUUGACCUCGGAACAGGUAGGGAUACCCGCUGAACUUAAGCAUAUCAAUAAGCGGAGGA